UACGUAGGGUGCAAGCGUUAUUCGGAAUUACUGGGCGUAAAGCGUGCGCAGGCGGCUUUGCAAGCCAGAUGUGAAAUCCCCGGGCUCAACCUGGGAACUGCAUUUGUGACUGCAUGGCUAGAGUGCGGCAGAGGGGGAUGGAAUUCCGCGUGUAGCAGUGAAAUGCGUAGAUAUGCGGAGGAACACCGAUGGCGAAGGCAAUCCCCUGGGCCUGCACUGACGCUCAUGCACGAAAGCGUGGGGAGCAAACAGG
RNAcentral lists this ribosomal RNA (253 nucleotides) under uncultured bacterium. RNAcentral's name for it is "partial 16S ribosomal RNA". It matches the Rfam family "Bacterial small subunit ribosomal RNA", at positions 524 to 776 of the family's 1533-position model. The record is from RNAcentral.